This is a non-coding RNA of Heterocephalus glaber (naked mole-rat), 1059 nucleotides long. NCBI's taxonomy places the organism in Eukaryota, Metazoa, Chordata, Mammalia, Rodentia, Bathyergidae. The record is from RefSeq and is a predicted model, not a curated record.
CGCACUUGCACAGUAGGUGGCAAAACCACUGAGCUAAAUCCCCGGCCCCAACUGUGUACAUUUCAUAAAGGGGAGGCAUGUACUAUAUUUUGACAUCCCCAGCAGAGUGUGAGGAACACCCCACAACCAAAUGCAUUUCUGCAGCAAAAUAUAUGAAUAUACAUAUUAAAUGGAAGAGAUAAAGAUUACACAUGGACUCACGUCCCUUAAGGUCAGGGUUGACUAUCAAAUGAGUUCAGGUCAGGGGUCCUACCAAAUGCAUUAUGAAAACUUUAGGAUUACAAAUCUUUGGUUGCAGUUAUGGGUCCAUGGAUCAGGCAAUUCUCCGAACAAUCCAAAAAUGAGGCAAAGAUCCAUCAACAAGACAUGAGAGCCACAUAGAUAACAUCUGUCCCUACCUUCAAAAGAAAAAAACUGGGGAACACACAGGAAAAUGCUCUUGUCCCAGUUCACAGCUAAUGAGUGGCAAAGCUAAACUAGAAUCCAGUUUCCUAUUUAGAUUCUAGAAUUCUACCCAACAAGCCAACAAUUACAUAACAGAAUGUGCCUCUCUCCGUGGAUCUCAUGCUGUGUGGUCCACUCACAGCACAAUCUUUCUUCAUUAUCCUCCAACUGGAGCAGACACAUCCCAUAUCCAGGGAAAAGGUGAGGAGAAGAGAGUCCUGGCCUCUAUAUCCACAGAGAGAGCUGAUGUCAACAGUUAAGUUUCUACUGAAAUACUACUGAAGUCCUUCAGAGCUUAGAACAUCAAAACUAAAGCCAUCUGAGAAAAUAGGAGAAUAGUUUAUAUUUUCUCCUGAGAAGACUGACCAGGGAAGAAUGGCACAGUUCUGGAGGGCGCCAUUCCCCAGGCUUCUCAGGGCAGUGAGGUGACCUGGUGCAACCACAACAGCAGAAGACAGAGCGCAACCACCACACGCACACGGAGGAAUAGAUCUGCCCUGUCUUCUACAGGACCUUUUCAGAUACAUGCUCUGUGAAGUAAGAUUUCCAGUCGUGAAGCUAUGAAGAAGUUCACAUUGAUUCAAGGGAUUCUGCUAUUAAAAAAAACAAAAACCA